This 403-nucleotide ribosomal RNA is filed under the name Verrucomicrobiota bacterium. RNAcentral's name for it is "Verrucomicrobia bacterium partial 16S ribosomal RNA". It matches the Rfam family "Bacterial small subunit ribosomal RNA", at positions 355 to 776 of the family's 1533-position model. The record is from RNAcentral. Lineage: Bacteria; Pseudomonadati; Verrucomicrobiota.
UGGGGAAUAUUGCACAAUGGGCGCAAGCCUGAUGCAGCAACGCCGCGUGAACGAUGAAGGUCUUCGGAUCGUAAAGUUCUGUUGCAGGGGAAGAUAAUGACGGUACCCUGUGAGGAAGCCCCGGCUAACUACGUGCCAGCAGCCGCGGUAAUACGUAGGGGGCUAGCGUUAUCCGGAUUUACUGGGCGUAAAGGGUACGUAGGCGGAUAAGCAAGUUAGAAGUGAAAUCCUAUAGCUCAACUAUAGUAAGCUUUUAAAACUGCUCAUCUUGAGGUAUGGAAGAGAAAGUGGAAUUCCUAGUGUAGCGGUGAAAUGCGCAGAUAUUAGGAGGAAUACCGGUGGCGAAGGCGACUUUCUGGCCAUAUACUGACGCUGAGGUACGAAAGCGUGGGUAGCAAACAGG